This 85-nucleotide transfer RNA is filed under the name Hankyongella ginsenosidimutans. It matches the Rfam family "tRNA". Rfam says of the family: Transfer RNA (tRNA) molecules are approximately 80 nucleotides in length. Their secondary structure includes four short double-helical elements and three loops (D, anti-codon, and T loops). Further hydrogen bonds mediate the characteristic L-shaped molecular structure. tRNAs have two regions of fundamental functional importance: the anti-codon, which is responsible for specific mRNA codon recognition, and the 3' end, to which the tRNAs corresponding amino acid is attached (by aminoacyl-tRNA synthetases). tRNAs cope with the degeneracy of the genetic code in two manners: having more than one tRNA (with a specific anti-codon) for a particular amino acid; and 'wobble' base-pairing, i.e. permitting non-standard base-pairing at the 3rd anti-codon position. The record is from Rfam by way of RNAcentral. Lineage: Bacteria; Pseudomonadati; Pseudomonadota; Alphaproteobacteria; Sphingomonadales; Sphingomonadaceae.
GCGGGCGUGGCGAAAUCGGUAGACGCACGAGACUUAAAAUCUCGAGUCCCUCAAGGACGUGCCGGUUCGAGCCCGGCCGCGCGAU